Molecule: ribosomal RNA, 460 nt
Filed under: uncultured bacterium
Lineage: Bacteria
Description: partial 16S ribosomal RNA
Rfam family: Bacterial small subunit ribosomal RNA
Source: RNAcentral
CCUACGGGAGGCAGCAGUGAGGAAUAUUGGUCAAUGGGCGGAAGCCUGAACCAGCCAAGUAGCGUGAAGGAUGACGGCCCUACGGGUUGUAAACUUCUUUUAUAAAGGAAUAAAGUGACUCACGUGUGCCUGUUUGAAUGUACUGUAUGAAUAAGGAUCGGCUAAAUCCGUGCCAGCAGCCGCGGUAAUACGGAGGGUCCGAGCGUUAUCCGGAUUUAUUGGGUUUAAAGGGAGCGUAGGCGGGUUGUUAAGUGUGUUGUGAAAGGUCCGGGCUCAACCCGGGACUUGCAGUGAAAACUGGCGGUCUUGAGUCGACGGAAGGCAGGCGGAAUUCGUCGUGUAGCGGUGAAAUGCUUAGAUAUGACGAAGAACCCCGAUUGCGAAGGCAGCUUACUGCAGUGGAACUGACGCUGAUGCUCGAAAGCGCGGGUAUCGAACAGGAUUAGAUACCCUAGUAGUC